UUUCCAGCUCCCUUUUUAAAAACUGGUUAUUUCGAGUUAACUCAAACAUGCAGGAAUAAAUACAUCCAGGGUCCCCGCACCAAAAUUACCACCAGAGGGUCAGGCGAGUCUGCCUGCGGUCAGCAGUGUGCAGUCACAGUCCCCAAGAAGCGCCUGCUGGGUUUGCAAGAUCUCGCCUGAACUCCGUCCUCAGCGAGGUGCAGCUGAGAACUGCGAGGUAGAGUCCAGCCUCGGUCUCCGUGGCUCCCACCGCUAGACUGGAGUUUUAACUGGAGAUCUGCCCCACUUCCUGGGACCGUGGCUAGCAUCUAGGCCUCCCGACCACACCUCUGAAGAAUGAAUGCAUGAACAGGGACCGCCUAAGGUGGCAUGCAGUGGGGACCAGGGGCAAAGGACAAGCUGCUGGACACACAGGUGGUGUUGAGGAUUGAACCCAGGGCCUCAUGCAUGCCAGGCAAGCACUGUACCACUGAGCCACAACCCCAGCCCUGGCCUUCUUAAAACAGUUAUGGCACAGUAAGACCUGGCUGUUCCACAUUCUCACAAGGGGCACACAGUUCCCCCAAAUCCAUCCCGAGGAACAAACUCUAGUGACACGGCUGGUUUCUGCAUGCAGUCACCAUACUUCCAUCUGGUCACCGCCACUUUUUAAAAAGGGCAACCACCAACGUUUAAUUUACAAAUUUUAUCUUUACAUGAAAGUAGGAUCUUAAAGUGUUUCCAAAACAUCCUACCGGUUUUUGCAUAUAAGCCUCAAAAGAAAGUUGAAUUACAAGGCCAAAAUGGAAAUGCCUGAAACUCCUGCUCAACACAUCCAAUGUUUCCUUCAAUGAAUGAUCAUGGAAACUUCCACAA
Sciurus carolinensis (gray squirrel) is the source of this 855-nucleotide long non-coding RNA. RefSeq lists it as uncharacterized. Lineage: Eukaryota; Metazoa; Chordata; Mammalia; Rodentia; Sciuridae. The record is from RefSeq and is a predicted model, not a curated record. The transcript has 3 exons.